GCUUUAUUAGCGGGGAUUCAAAUGUAUUUUUGUUUGAGUCAAAAGUCAUCGGUAUGCAAAAGAGUGCGGUUCCCUUGGUUGAGCU
RNAcentral lists this transfer RNA (85 nucleotides) under Bacillus freudenreichii. RNAcentral describes it as "tRNA-Ser(tga)". The record is from RNAcentral. Lineage: Bacteria; Bacillati; Bacillota; Bacilli; Caryophanales; Bacillaceae.